GAUGAACGCUGGCGGCGUGCUUAACACAUGCAAGUCGAACGAAAAGGCCCUGCUUUUGUGGGGUGCUCGUGUGGCGCAGGGGUGUGAAACACGUGUGUACCCCCCUCUUGUCUUUGGGAUAACUUCAGGAAACUGGGGAUAAUACCGGAUAGGAGCUCCUGCCGCAUGGUGGGGGUUGGAAAGUUUCGGCGGUUGGGGAUGGUCUCGCGGCUUAUCAGCUUGUUGGUGGGGUAGUGGCUUACCAAGGCUUUGACGGGUAGCCGGCCUGAGAGGGUGACCGGCCACAUUGGGACUGAGAUACGGCCCAGACUCCUACGGGAGGCAGCAGUGGGGAAUAUUGCACAAUGGGCGGAAGCCUGAUGCAGCGACGCCGCGUGCGGGAUGACGGCCUUCGGGUUGUAAACCGCUUUCGCCAGGGACGAAGCGAGAGUGACGGUAACGGGUAAAGAAGCACCGGCUAACUACGUG
RNAcentral lists this ribosomal RNA (468 nucleotides) under uncultured bacterium. RNAcentral describes it as "partial 16S ribosomal RNA". It matches the Rfam family "Bacterial small subunit ribosomal RNA", at positions 28 to 507 of the family's 1533-position model. The record is from RNAcentral.